UACGAAGGGGGCUAGCGUUGCUCGGAAUUACUGGGCGUAAAGGGCGCGUAGGCGGACAGUUUAGUCAGAGGUGAAAGCCCAGGGCUCAACCUUGGAAUUGCCUUUGAUACUGGCUGUCUUGAGUUCGGGAGAGGUGAGUGGAAUGCCGAGUGUAGAGGUGAAAUUCGUAGAUAUUCGGAAGAACACCAGUGGCGAAGGCGGCUUCCUGGACCGUGGCUGACGCUGAGGCGCGAAAGCGUGGGGAGCGAUCCGG
This 253-nucleotide ribosomal RNA is filed under the name uncultured bacterium. RNAcentral describes it as "partial 16S ribosomal RNA". It matches the Rfam family "Bacterial small subunit ribosomal RNA", at positions 524 to 776 of the family's 1533-position model. The record is from RNAcentral.